RNAcentral lists this ribosomal RNA (440 nucleotides) under uncultured bacterium. RNAcentral's name for it is "partial 16S ribosomal RNA". It matches the Rfam family "Bacterial small subunit ribosomal RNA", at positions 338 to 795 of the family's 1533-position model. The record is from RNAcentral.
CCUACGUGAGGCAGCAGUGGGGGAUCUUGCACAAUGGGGGACACCCUGAUGCAGCGACGCCGCGUGAGUGAAGACGUCUUUCGGUAUGUAAAGCUCUAUCAGCAGGGAAGAAAAUGACAGUACCUGACCAAGAAGCCCCGGCUAACUACGUGCCAGCCACCGCGGUAAUACGUAGGGGGCAAGCGUUAUCCGGAUUUACUGGUCGUAAAGGCAGCGUAGACGGUUGUGUAAGUCUGGAGUGAAAGCCCGGGGCCCAACCCCGGGACUGCUUUGGAAACUGUGUAACUGGAGUACAGGAGGGGGAGGCGGAAGUACUGGUGGAGCGGGGAAAUGCGUAGAUAUCAGGAGGAACACCGGCGGCGAAGGCGGCCUGCUGGAAUGAAACUGACGUUGAGGCUCGAAAGCGUGGGGAGCAAACAGGAUUAGAUACCCGUGUAGUC